AACUGAAGUCUCAACAAGCUUAGAAAUUUUAGAGCUCUAAUAAGUGAUUUGGACUCUUUUCUGCAUAGUAACGGUGCCAAUUUUUUUCUUUUCUGCAGCGAUUGAGAUGCUUUUUAUAUAGAGCGGAAAUGGUUGCCCUUCAAAUCAUGAGCUGGAAAAGAUUUGUAGAAUCAAUCCGUUAACAAUACAAUCUCUCAUAGAUUUCGUGGGGACCAAUUUGUUUUGGAGUCGAAUCGUGGAAAUGGCGGAGAACUCGUUUGAUAUGGGAAUGCAAACAUAUCCUUCAAAGACUCGUGUGGUCCCCCUAUUUAAUUUUGAAAUCCGUACCUUGGUUUAAUCUUGGUAUGUGGCUACCGCAGGUCUCCCUACUGCGGAUGCAUCGCUUGUUCGUUGGCUAAUUCUUCCCGUUGCAGGUCGGGUUCUACACUUAGGCCUGCUAAUUCCAUGGUCACGUCGAACAUGUUGUCUCAACGAAGGUUUCCUCAUCCAUUGGCUUGUAUUUCAAGGUCCUGAAGCGGGUUUGUGGCAUGUCUGCUUAAGGAUGUGUGUAUUGAAUUUGUAGCAGGUCUGUUAUAAGGAAAUGGCGGGAUUCCAAAUAAUGUCCUUCACGCUGCUCGUUCGUAGCAGGUACAGACUAUUUGCAGCUUGCUCUAAUUGGUAUUCCUCUUAUGGUUCGACAUGGUUUGCGCAUUACGUCCUCAAAGCGAUUGGCAAGGAUGCAUUUACUCUGGUCAAUAUAGUUGGGUCAUGUUAUGUUAUACGUGUUUGGAUUUGGCUUGCAGCAGGUUCUACACUUAUAGCAGGCGGCGACAACAGGAACGAAACAUGUAUUCAUUUGCAUUUCCCUGGCGCACACGGACUCUUGUUCAUACUGACGGCACGGCGCUGUUGGCUCUUGGAUUUGCAGGUCACAGUAUGAUGCUAGAGGAUACCCUGCGGUUCCUAAACGGUCUGUGGAAGCAAAAUGCAAGGAGGGGCGUGGGCGACUGUCAUGACAGGAUGAUGUGUAUUUUUUGGUUUUAGAAAAUUAUUUCUUUCAUUUGGCUUGGCUGUACUAUUAUUCAGAACCUAGGAUCACUUGUAACCGACGGCAUGAUGUAUUCUCAUGGAUGAUAUUUGAAACAAAUAUGUUUGUUACCCCAGAA
This is an RNA transcript of Lathyrus oleraceus (garden pea), 1145 nucleotides long. RefSeq lists it as uncharacterized. The transcript has 4 exons. NCBI's taxonomy places the organism in Eukaryota, Viridiplantae, Streptophyta, Magnoliopsida, Fabales, Fabaceae. The record is from RefSeq and is a predicted model, not a curated record.